RNAcentral lists this ribosomal RNA (253 nucleotides) under uncultured bacterium. RNAcentral's name for it is "partial 16S ribosomal RNA". It matches the Rfam family "Bacterial small subunit ribosomal RNA", at positions 524 to 776 of the family's 1533-position model. The record is from RNAcentral.
UACGGGGGGGGCAAGCGUUGUUCGGAAUUACUGGGCGUAAAGGGCUCGUAGGCGGCCAACUAAGUCAGACGUGAAAUCCCCCGGCUUAACCAGGGAACUGCGUCUGAUACUGGAUGGCUUGAGUUUGGGAGAGGGAUGCGGAAUUCCAGGUGUAGCGGUGAAAUGCGUAGAUAUCUGGAGGAACACCGGUGGCGAAGGCGGCAUCCUGGACCAACACUGACGCUGAGGAGCGAAAGCCAGGGGAGCAAACGGG